GGCGCACGGGUGAGUAACACGUAUCCAACCUGCCGUCUACCCGGGGAUAGCCCUCUGAAAGGAGGAUUAAUACCCGAUGCUCUCAUAGCGGGGCCUCCCGCCGUGAGCAAAGAUUCAUCGGUAGACGAUGGGGAUGCGUAUGAUUAGGAAGUUGGCAGGGUAACGGCCUACCAAUCCUACGAUCAUUAGGGGUUCUGAGAGGAAGGUCCCCCACAUAGGAACUGAGACACGGUCCUAACUCCUACGGGAGGCAGCAGUGAGGAAUAUUGGUCAAUGGGCGCGAGCCUGAACCAGCCAAGUAGCGUGAAGGAAUGACUGCCCUAUGGGUUGUAAACUUCUUUUACCGGGGAAUAAAGUGUGCCACGUGUGGCAUUUUGUAUGUACCCGAUGAAUAAGCAUCGGCUAAUUCCGUGCCAGCAGCAGC
RNAcentral lists this ribosomal RNA (424 nucleotides) under uncultured bacterium. RNAcentral describes it as "bacterial SSU rRNA". It matches the Rfam family "Bacterial small subunit ribosomal RNA", at positions 97 to 518 of the family's 1533-position model. The record is from RNAcentral.